This 329-nucleotide ribosomal RNA is filed under the name uncultured bacterium. RNAcentral's name for it is "bacterial SSU rRNA". It matches the Rfam family "Bacterial small subunit ribosomal RNA", at positions 28 to 336 of the family's 1533-position model. The record is from RNAcentral.
GACGAACGCUGGCGGCGUGCUUAACACAUGCAAGUCGAACGAGACGAUUGAAAGCUUGCUUUUGAAAGUCGAGUGGCAAACGGGUGAGUAACGCGUAGACAACCUGCCUUUGAGAUGGGGACAACAGUCCGAAAGGACUGCUAAUACCGAAUGUUGUGGAACUUCCGCAUGGGAGCUCCACCAAAGAUGACCUCUUCCUGAAAGUUAUCGCUCAAAGAUGGGUCUGCGUCUGAUUAGCUGGUUGGUGGGGCAACGGCCUACCAAGGCGACGAUCAGUAGCCGGACUGAGAGGUUGAACGGCCACGAUUGGGACUGAGAUACGGCCAGAC